This 497-nucleotide ribosomal RNA is filed under the name uncultured bacterium. Its description in RNAcentral is "partial 16S ribosomal RNA". It matches the Rfam family "Bacterial small subunit ribosomal RNA", at positions 28 to 507 of the family's 1533-position model. The record is from RNAcentral.
GAUGAACGCUGGCGGCGUGCCUAAUACAUGCAAGUCGAGCGAACAGACGAGGAGCUUGCUCCUCUGACGUUAGCGGCGGACGGGUGAGUAACACGUGGAUAACCUACCUAUAAGACUGGGAUAACCUCGGGAAACCGGAGCUAAUACCGGAUAAUAUAUUGAACCGCAUGGUUCAAUAGUGAAAGACGGUUUUGCUGUCACUUAUAGAUGGAUCCGCGCCGCAUUAGCUAGUUGGUAAGGUAACGGCUUACCAAGGCGACGAUGCGUAGCCGACCUGAGAGGGUGAUCGGCCACACUGGAACUGAGACACGGUCCAGACUCCUACGGGAGGCCGCAGUAGGGAAUCUUCCGCAAUGGGCGAAAGCCUGACGGAGCAACGCCGCGUGAGUGAUGAAGGUCUUCGGAUCGUAAAACUCUGUUAUUAGGGAAGAACAAAUGUGUAAGUAACUAUGCACGUCUUGACGGUACCUAAUCAGAAAGCCACGGCUAACUACGUG